CCUACGGGAGGCAGCAGUGGGGAAUAUUGCACAAUGGGCGCAAGCCUGAUGCAGCGACGCCGCGUGAGGGAUGACGGCCUUCGGGUUGUAAACCUCUGUUAGCAGGGAAGAAGAGAGAUUGACGGUACCUGCAGAGAAAGCGCCGGCUAACUACGUGCCAGCAGCCGCGGUAAUACGUAGGGCGCGAGCGUUGUCCGGAAUUAUUGGGCGUAAAGAGCUUGUAGGCGGUUUGUCGCGUCUGCUGUGAAAGGCCGGAGCUUAACUCCGUGUAUUGCAGUGGGUACGGGCAGACUAGAGUGCAGUAGGGGAGACUGGAAUUCCUGGUGUAGCGGUGGAAUGCGCAGAUAUCAGGAGGAACACCGAUGGCGAAGGCAGGUCUCUGGGCUGUAACUGACGCUGAGAAGCGAAAGCAUGGGGAGCGAACAGGAUUAGAUACCCUU
RNAcentral lists this ribosomal RNA (440 nucleotides) under uncultured bacterium. Its description in RNAcentral is "bacterial SSU rRNA". It matches the Rfam family "Bacterial small subunit ribosomal RNA", at positions 338 to 789 of the family's 1533-position model. The record is from RNAcentral.